Molecule: long non-coding RNA, 2297 nt
Filed under: Malus domestica (apple)
Lineage: Eukaryota; Viridiplantae; Streptophyta; Magnoliopsida; Rosales; Rosaceae
Description: long non-coding RNA (MDOM_LNC005834)
Source: RNAcentral
CAAUAAAACCCUAUGACCGGCCAUAUUGAUAAAGGAGUGGGUUUGGACUUAUUACAAGUUUGCCACUCCAAUGAAGGUAGGUAUAAAUAUGACUUUAUAGCCUUUUCUUCAUUAGGUUUUCUUUUGGAGAAAAGAUGAGAACACAAUGUCUCUCCCUUUCUCUCUAGGAGGCCGGCCCCCUUGGAGGAGAUUAGCUAGCAAUCUUCCCUCCUCCAAGGUCACUCAUCUCUUUUUCGAGUCUCUCCUUUGUGUGGAAAAAUUAGAGGUUCUCAACUUUGGGAACUUGGAGAAUCCUUUCAACCAUCCUCAUCCUAGAAAUCCAUGGAGCUAAGAAGCAAGGAAUGAAGGCAUUCUCUUUGGGUGAUUAGCCUUUGCUUAUGCAAAGAGGAAUCAACAAAGGUAUAAAAUUUCUCAACUCACUUUGUUUUGAGUUGAGUCUUGGUUCACCCUUCUACUAGGCUUUGAAUUUCAUGGGCAAUGUUUUGUUUUUGAGUGCAUACAAGCAUGAUUCCGCCUUUAAAUGUUAAUUGCAUGCCAUAGAUGUUGCUUAAAUGAACAUGUUUUCACAAAAUUUCCUUCAAGUGGUAUCAAGAGCCUAGGUCUAGUAGUUGGCGAAUCCUUUUGGGUUUUGUAUUUUCAUAGUUUAUGAUUUGAAUGUUGUAAUUGUUACAAGCUUUAUUCUUACUUCUUUGAAUGUAAAUUUUGUUAGAAAAUUUGCUAUCUCAAAUGUUGUAGAUGUAGUUCAUAUGAGCAUGAAUUUUGGAGCUAAAAUUUGGUGCCAUGUUUUUUGGGGAAAUUCGGCCAAAUCCAAAGGGUGGAUUUUUGGGUUCAUGUUUGUCUUGUUAAAAGUGUUUUAAAGUGACAUUAAGAACCCCUAAGUACCCUAGUAUGGUAAUAUGUUUUUUCCCUUAAGUUUGAGAGUUUUUGGGGUGUCUUUGGGUGAAAAAUGUUCAUGGAGCUCUUAUGGGUUUUCAUGGAUGUUCUUCAUUGUUCUCGUUAUGUUUUUGGCAAGAACAAAAAGGUUGGGUAUUUUGAUUCAAAGUUUUUGGUUGUUUUGCAUAAAGUUUUGUUUAUGGUGGUUGGUGUGACUUUAUUGUAAUAAAUUGUAUGACAUGAUUUGUUCUUUUUCAAUCAACACCCAUACCAAUCACUUACACCUUUUCCUUAUUUUAAGGGACCAUGUUUUAUGGAAAUCACUUUUUCAAACCUACCCAUCACCUUUCACUUUUGUUGAAAAAUUCAAAAGUUUAUGACACCAUCUCUCAUCCAAAACCGGCCACCCUAUUAAAUAGGGUACUUUGGGGCUUUUAUGCAAUUACAUAAAGUUUUGAUACUUUUGUGUAUUUGUACUUUGAUCCGAAAGUUUACAUUUUUACGUAAAGGCCCAAAAUCACUAAAGGACAAAAUGUUUUGCUCCUUUAAUGAAGUUUUUGUUUUUUGAUGAAAUUUUUGGGUUCCAGUUGUAAUUACAUGAAGUAGUGGACUUUUGUGUUUUUACAAAGUGACAUCAAAAGUUUGUGUUUUGCUAUAUAGCCCAAUGGUUGAGGUUAUUGUUUUUUGGCCCAAAUUAGUUGAGAACAAAAUAGUUUUGUAUCUUUAAAUGAGAAUUGGAUUUUCAUUUCAUUUAGCUCCAUUAAAAUCAAUUCUAUGGAUACAAAAACCAAAUGAAAAUGUUGCAUUCAAGUUUAAUUAGUUAAAGCGUUAAUUAAUUAAAGAAAAGGGUGAUUAUGAACCUAAGCCUACGAUAAUUGAGCUAUGUGAAAGGCCGUCUCAAAUUUGUUUGAACCAUGGGAAUGUGUAGAUUAGAUUUUGGUUGUAAUUUGAUAUGAUCAAAUAUUGUAAAAGAGCAUAAGCUCUUCUUUACUUCGAAGUAAUUUGUUUUGAUCAAAUGUUGUAAAAGAGCAUAAGCUCUUCUUUACUUUGAAGUACUUCUUUCUUGCUUUAUUUGAUAUGUAUGAAAAUGAAGUACAGGGUCCAACGCCCAAUAAGAAAACACGCCUUAAUGUGAUUAAACACGUAACUAAAAUCAAUCACCAUCCCUAGAUCGAGAUUCAACACUAGGCUCGUGUUGGAUCCAAUCAAAGGUUCAUAGUCAUCCUAAGACCCUAAGGCAACUAUAUAGUCCAUCAAUGAAUGCAAACCUUAUGUUAGUAGUACCAUAUACUCUUGCUUUAAAAACCGUUUUACAAGCAUAGUGGGAGUAUCAUAUACAACUAAAUCAAUCACAUGGACCAAUAGUUGUAAUAGGACCAAAUUUUUUUAAGAUUAAAAUGCAUGCUUAUAUGUGAUGAGACCUA